Molecule: non-coding RNA, 660 nt
Organism: Pogona vitticeps (central bearded dragon)
Lineage: Eukaryota; Metazoa; Chordata; Lepidosauria; Squamata; Agamidae
Source: RefSeq, a predicted model, not a curated record
ACAGCAGGGACGAUUUGGUCUGCCUCCCACCAUUAUGCCGUUCCAGAGCAAGAGCUACUCAAGUGAGCAAAACAGAGGAUGGGACAGGUAUCAGCUCCUUUUGAGACCAGAAGCAGAGAGCGUGGUCAAAGGGAUCAGGAACUGACAUCGCUUGAAAUUGAGAUCUACUUCUUGAGAUUGUCUACAAAACGUUGUCUCUUAAAGUUCUUACACCACUCUUCCAUUGGAACCACUUUCAGGAUAACACACAUACAUACACACAUGGAAUUAUUUUUGGUGUACUACUGUAAUAUUAAAUAUCGGUCUGACUCUUACUUUUAUACAUUACUUUCCCCAUGCCAUCUUGGAAAUUCCUGAGAAUUCUUCAUCACACUCUUUCCACUCCUUUAAUUUUUAAAUUAUAUAGUAAUUCUGCAGCCUACAGAAAUUUAUUUUUAUAUUAUUGGAUAUAUAAAUAUGGCUCAAACUGAGAAUUUUGCAAAAUGCUGGAAGUAGUAAAAAAAAAGUGAACAAACAUGGGUAGUGCACCAACCACCAACACCCCCAAAACAGUUCUAUAAUUGUCAGCCUUGUGAACAGCAAUAUUCUUGGCAUUCAAAACAUCCAGAAAAAAGCAAAGCAAAUAUUCUUUCUUUUCUGAGAUUAAAAAUAUUAUAUGAA